RNAcentral lists this signal recognition particle RNA (270 nucleotides) under Camellia sinensis. RNAcentral's name for it is "transcribed RNA". It matches the Rfam family "Plant signal recognition particle RNA", at positions 37 to 305 of the family's 305-position model. The record is from RNAcentral. Lineage: Eukaryota; Viridiplantae; Streptophyta; Magnoliopsida; Ericales; Theaceae.
GGGCGUCAAGGUGACUGGACUUGGGUUCGGCCCAGAAGGUAGGGCCUGUGGUUGCUUCUUGCUGGCCUGCCCGUUCCAAGUGGGGAGUUGGCCUGCGGGGGUCCUUACGAAAGCGGGGGCUUCGUGGUUCCUAAAGAGGAGGGUACAGCGUGAGGCUGGUUUCACAGAGCAGCGAUUACCUCCCGCUCUCUACGGUGGAAGGAUUACAGGCCGGUGCUUCCUCGGCCCAAUAACGCCUGAUGGGUCUCUCCUAAUUGGACAGUCAUCUUU